This 507-nucleotide ribosomal RNA is filed under the name uncultured Glomeromycotina. RNAcentral describes it as "SSU rRNA". It matches the Rfam family "Eukaryotic small subunit ribosomal RNA", at positions 569 to 1078 of the family's 1831-position model. Lineage: Eukaryota; Fungi; Glomeromycota. The record is from RNAcentral.
AGCAGCCGCGGUAAUUCCAGCUCCAAUAGCGUAUAUUAAAGUUGUUGCAGUUAAAAAGCUCGUAGUUGAAUUUCGGGGUUAGUAAGUUGGUCAUGCCUUCGGUAUGCACUGGCUUUACUGAUUCCUCCUUCUUGACGAACCGUGAUGUCAUUAAUUUGGUGUUGCGGGAAAUCAGGACUGUUACUUUGAAAAAAUUAGAGUGUUUAAAGCAGGCUAACGCUUGAAUACAUUAGCAUGGAAUAAUGAAAUAGGACGUUAAUCCUAUUUUGUUGGUUUCUAGGAUCGACGUAAUGAUUAAUAGGGAUAGUUGGGGGCAUUAGUAUUCAAUUGUCAGAGGUGUAAUUCUUGGAUUUAUUGAAGACUAACUACUGCGAAAGCAUUUGCCAAGGAUGUUUUCAUUAAUCAAGAACGAAAGUUAGGGGAUCGAAGACGAUCAGAUACCGUCGUAGUCUUAACCAUAAACUAUGCCGACUAGGGAUCGGAUGAUGUUAAUUCUUUAAUGACUCA